This 697-nucleotide long non-coding RNA is filed under the name Gossypium barbadense (sea-island cotton). Its description in RNAcentral is "long non-coding RNA (GBAR_LNC006866)". Lineage: Eukaryota; Viridiplantae; Streptophyta; Magnoliopsida; Malvales; Malvaceae. The record is from RNAcentral.
CUCCUCACUGGCAUAUGGUCAAGUUGCAAUGAGCACAAGCCCGACACCGUCACCCUCACCAGCACCGGCACCGACACCGGCAUACACAAAUAUCAAAGACUUACUCUCUGUGGCAGGUCCAUAUCACAAGUUCCUGGGCUACCUCGAGUCGACUAAAUUAAUCGACACGUUCCAAAUCCAAGCCAACAACACGGUUGAAGGCAUUACGAUUUUCGUACCGAAAGACAGCGCAUUCAAGGCUCUUAAGAAGCCUUCAUUGUCAAAUCUAACUGAUGAUCAGUUCAAAUCAGUGCUCCUUUACCAUGCCUUGCCACGAUACUAUGCCCUUGCGGACUUCAAUGACCUAAGUGAGAAAGGCCUUAUUAGUACACUUGCUGGUGGCCAAUACACUUUGCAAUUCAACGAUGAGUCUGGUACCGUCCGCCUCGAUUCCGGAUGGAGCAAAACAAAAGUCACUAGCGCAGUACAUACGUCCAAGCCAGUCGCAGUCUAUCAAAUCGAUAAGGUCCUUCUUCCGGAGGCCAUUUUCGGGACCGACAUACCUCCGACACCUGCACCUGCCCCGGCUCUUGGUAUUGGCCCAUCAGCUGACACUCCAUCAGCAGCAAAAUCCGAAGAAACUGGUUCCUCAUCAAAGCCUUCGUUUUCGGGUUCAUCAUCUCCUAGGAUCAUGAUGAACUCGGGCAUUUGGACUCAG